UCGGGAAUUUUGGGCAAUGGGCGAAAGCCUGACCCAGCAACGCCGCGUGAGGGAUGAAGUAUUUCGGUAUGUAAACCUCGAAAGAAUGGGAAGAAUAAAUGACGGUACCAUUUAUAAGCUCCGGCUAACUACGUUCCGGCAGCCGCGGUAAUACGUAGGGAGCAAGCGUUGUUCGGAUUUACUGGGCGUAAAGGGCGCGUAGGCGGCGCGGUAAGUCACUUGUGAAAUCUCUGAGCUUAACUCAGAACGGCCAAGUGAUACUGCUGGGCUAGAGUGCGGAAGGGGCAACCGGAAUUCUUGGUGUAGCGGUUAAAUGCGUAGAUAUCAAGAGGAACACCUGAGGCGAAGGCGGGUUGCUGGGCCGACACUGACGCUGAUGCGCGAAAGCCAGGGGAGCAAACG
RNAcentral lists this ribosomal RNA (402 nucleotides) under uncultured bacterium. RNAcentral describes it as "bacterial SSU rRNA". It matches the Rfam family "Bacterial small subunit ribosomal RNA", at positions 355 to 774 of the family's 1533-position model. The record is from RNAcentral.